CAGCAGCGAAAUUACACGAGGGCUUUGGGUCUCUAACGAAUCUGCAGAAGUUGUGUAUUAUAGAAGCUGACUCUGAAGCGCUCAAAGAGCUUAUGAAGCUAAGGCAGUUAAGAAAGUUGAGCAUUAGGACUUUAAAAACUUUAGAGAAUGUCGGAGAGCUCUGAAACCCUGAAACCUUACGAAAACCCUAGUUUACUGAAAACAAUUCCACCGCCGUUAGCCGCAGAUCGUUCAACCAAAAAGGCUAGAUUUCGCAGCCAUGAAGUAGACGCAGAUAGUCCAAGCCCCCUCUCCUUCAAGGAUGCGCUUGUGCACCCAGAACAAUACAGAAGCUCUGAAGAUGCUGAGAUGGAAGAAGAAUGGGACCUGGAACCUGGAGAUGUCACCAUAGGAGAUGAUGGCACCAUGCCCACUAUCAAAUUCUCAAAACGAAUCCAAGAUAAAUUGAUUAAACCUUGGCAGAACUCUGUAGUGGUUAAGCUGCUGGGGAGAAACAUUGGGUAUAAAGUUUUGUGUAAUAGGUUGAAAGUUAUGUGGCAUCAGAUUCAUGACUUUUCGGUGAUUGAUCUUGAAAACAACUACUUUCUAAUUCGCCUUAAAUCACCAGAGGAUGCUGUAUAUGCAUUAACCGAAGGGCCAUGGGUUAUCUUUGGGCAUUAUUUAACAGUGCAGCCGUGGACACCUCAGUUUGACAGCACCACUACUGAUCUUGACUCUGCCAUUGUUUGGAUUAGGUUACCCGGCAUGGCUUUUCACUUAUAUGAUAAGAGGAUUUUGCGGAAGAUUGGUCAACUUGUGGGGAACGUUAUCAAGAUCGACUACCAUACUGCAUUGCGGGAGAGGGGAAAGUUUGCAAGAAUUGCAGUCCGCAUCUCUCUUUCUCAGCCUCUGCUAUCUCGUUUUAACAUUGAUGGGAAGAUACAGAAGGUUGAGUACGAAGGGUUGCCUAUCAUAUGUUAUCAAUGCGGAAAGUAUGGGCAUAAUAGUAUCGUCUGUCAAAGCAAGCAAAAAAUGAAUGAGGCCAAUAAUGGUUAUUCUGAGAACAUUAUACCAACUAAUUCGGCAGGGGAAAAAGAUGGUGCUGUCGACAUGACUACUGAAAAAAGUGAAAAGUUUGGACCAUGGAUGAUUGUGGCACGUAAAGGAAAACCCAAGUUCGUAGUGGAAAAGGAGAACACUACUGCUGCAGAGAGGAACCAGCGAAGUAAUAUACCAGUUACAUCUCGGUUUGAUGCCUUAGCCGAGGAUUUGAACACAAACAAUAUGGUGGAGAUUGCUGGAACUACCCCCAACCUUGAACCCUUACAACGACAACCUAAAUCCAUUACCGAUCACUUCCAUAAUCGGAAGAACCUGCCCCUGAAAAACCCUAACACUCUUAAACCUCAGAACCAACUCUCCAAAGGAAAACAAGUGGCUAAAUCACAGCACUCAGUAUUGAAACAAAAGUCUAUCACAGCCUCCACAUCCAUGCAUGCAAGCAUACGUCCCACCAACACAAGAAUCCUACCAUCCAGUUCAAAUGUCCCCAAUCCGAACCCUUCAAGCAUUCUACCUAGCCUCCCCCGAGAACCUAACUCCACGCUUGCAUUCACAACACUAGACCCCCAAAAUCAUACUGCUAUAACCUUUCCCAGAAAAACCAAUGAAACCGUAGGCAUCCCACCAGGUUUCCCAAGAAAACCAACAUCAGCCAAAUCUGAUCAGCAACCCCAUUCAACACAACCAAAUGAGUCUUCCGAAGCCAAGGAUGAAGGGGAUAGAAAAGCAGUGGAGGGACAUGCUGGUGAUCCGCAGUCUACAUUCGGUACUAAUGCGGAUGCCACCAUGUCUGAUGAUGACAAUUCCUUUGUCAAUGAAACCCCGGAAGUGUAUGGCGAAGCAGAGCUGGAGCUUUGUGCGUAACCCUCUCAUGCUCACCUUCCCUUUUAUAUGCGGUUUAUGACGAUAUCAGUAUUAUUCUGGAAUGUUCAAGGGGCGGGUUCCCCAUCCUUUCGAAGAAUUUUUGCUACAUUAGUUAAAAGCUAUAACCCUACAAUUGUUGUAAUCCUCGAGCCAAGAAUCAGCGGUAAGAAAGCAGAUGAUUUCAUCCGAAAAAGUGGCUUUGAUCGCUCUCAUCGUGUGGAGGCUACUGGUUUUUCCGGUGGUAUUUGGUUAUUGUGGAGGAAUUUUUUCGACGUCGAAAUCGCUUUCAAUCACUCUCAGUUUAUUCACCUAAAAAUCAGCGUCCAUAAUGUCAUCCAAUCUUGGGUCACUGCAGUCUAUGCGAGCCCAAAUUCAGCUGGACGUCGUGCCCUGUGGUAUCAUUUGAGUAACAUUGCGAAGUCGAUGCAUGAUCCUUGGAUUAUGGGGGGUGAUUUCAAUUCAAUCUUAUAUGCCGCGGAGAAACGUGGGGGCUCGGCGCUAAGCACUGGUAUUUGUCCCAUCUUUAAUUCAUGGUUUCAUGCUAAUAAUAUUGUUGACUUGCAGUUCAGUGGACCUAGAUACACAUGGACUCGCGGGAACCUUUCGAAGAGGUUGGACCGUGCUAUGAGUAAUCAGGAGUGGAUACUAAAAUUUGAUAACUAUUCGGUUACUCAUUUACCACGAGUUGAAUCUGACCACAGGCCGAUAUUGGUCCGUUUUGAACGUCAGUUUGGCUGUCUGGGGAGUGCUAAACCCUUUCGUUUCUUAGCGGCUUGGAUGACUGAUCACCGAUUUGGUGACUUUAUGCGGGAUAGUUGGCACAAGAAUCUUCCUUACUCGCAAGCAGCUUCUACUUUUACAAGUAAGGUGGUUAGUUGGAAUAGAGAGAUUUUUGGCAACAUAUUCAAACGAAAAAAGCAGCUGCUAGCUCGUAUUGGCGGGGUUCAAAAGGCCUUAGAGAAUAAACCCACUCGCAGUUUGUAUCGACUUGAAGCAAAGCUAAGACAGAAGUUGGAAGAAACUUUAUCCCAAGAGGAAUUAGUGUGGUUCCAGAAAUCCCGCAAAGAUUGGAUUAGUUAUGGAGAUCGAAACACCUCUUUCUUUCAACAGAAAACUAUUACACGGAGGGCUAGAAACCGAAUCAAUGCUAUUAAGAAUGAUAGAGAUAUUUGGCUGUACGACAAUAAUGACAUUAAGUCCCAUGCUGUGUCUUUUUUCUCCACUUUAUACAAGUCCGAUCAAGAACUCCAUCGCCCGUAUACUGUGCAAGGGUAUUUUCCUAGCAUUGAUCAAAAUAGGAUGUCAAUUCUUGAUAACUCGAUUGACAACGAGGAAAUUCGUCAGGCACUAUUCCAGAUGAGACCAUUCAAGGCACCUGGAAUUGAUGGUUUCCCUGCCGGUUUUUAUCAAACCCAGUGGCAAGUAGUUGGUGAUUCUUUCUGUUCCGGAAUAAAGGAUAUUUUCAAAUCCCACAAUGUCCCUAGUGAAAUUACUAAAACCCUUCUUGUUCUCAUCCCAAAGUCCGAGCAUCCUACUUCUUUUAAGAUGUAUCGCCCUAUCAGCCUUUGCACCGUAUUCUAUAAAACAGUGACUAAGAUUAUCGUCAACAGAUUGCAAGCCAUACUCCCUGACCUAAUUGGCCCUCAUCAGACAAGUUUUGUCCCUGGCCGUCACAUCACAGAAAACAUUAUCAUUGCUCAGGAAGUGAUCCAUUCCAUGCGACGCAAAAUGGGCAAAAAAGGGUUCAUGGCUAUCAAGGUUGACUUGGAAAAAGCUUAUGAUAGAUUGAGCUGGAAUUUUAUUUAUGAAACAUUAACGGAGUUAGCCUUGCCUAUUGGUCUUAUUCAAUUAAUAAUGGAGUGCAUUACUUCUGUUAGUAUGAAUAUCUUAUGGCAUGGUGAAUUAACGGAUGAUUUCUCUCCCAGUAGAGGGGUACGACAAGGUGAUCCUUUGUCACCAUAUAUUUUUGUCUCUGUAUUGAAAGAUUGAGUCAUGGGAUUUAUCAAUCAAUUCAUCAAGACCAUUGGAAGCCUAUCCGCUUAUCUAGGCUGGGUACCCCCUUAAGCCAUCUUUUUUUCGCGGAUGAUCUUCUCCUUUUUGCCGAAGCUACCAAUGGGCAAGCACAGUGCAUUAAUUCAGUCUUAGGAGAUUUUUGCUUGAGCUCGGGCGCAAAGGUUAGUCAAUCUAAGACACAUGUUUAUUUCUCUAAAAAUAUCCCAGAUGUUGUUGCCGCGAGAAUAGGGCGAGCUUUGGGGUAUACAGUAACGAAGGACUUGGGUAAGUAUUUGGGCAUGCCUUUGCUACAUAGUCGUGUCUCACAGCAAACAUAUCAAGGGAUUUUAGAUAAGACGGACCAAAAGCUUUCUGGUUGGGCAGCCUCUCAGCUUUCUCUUGCCGGGCGUAUCACUCUUACCCAAUCUGUCCUUCAAGCAGUCCCUAUCUAUGCUAUGCAAACUACCAAUUUACCGGGUAGUAUUAAGACUAAGCUUGAUCAAAUUUGUAGACGAUUUUUGUGGAGUGGAAAUGAUGAAUUACGGAAAAUGAGCCUAGUUAGUUGGCAUAACAUUUGUCAACCAAAAAUGGCAGGCGGUCUCGGGUUCAAAAGGUUGAAUGUCAUGAAUGAAGCACUGCUUUUGAAGAUUGCUUGGCAUUUAAUCACUGAGCCUGACAAACUGUGUGUCUAGGUGCUUUCCACAAAAUAUGGAGUUCCUCCAUCGGAAAUCCCUCAUACUUUACCUACUCGGUACGGAUCGCAUUUAUGGAAAUCUGUUGGUCGAGUUUGGGAUUAUGCUAGGCUCGGGAUUCGCUGGAAUAUUGGUAAUGGGUUGAAAGUUAAAUUUUGGUGGGACUGUUGGGCAACGGCAUCUCUCACUCUUGCGGAUUUAGCCAUACAACCGAUAACUCCUGACCUUUCUGAUCUGUAUGUUGCAGACUUUGUUUCCACAGAUGGGUCCUGGAAUUGGCCAAAGUUUAGUCACAUCUUACCCCAUCAGGCAAUAAUGAUAAUUGCCUCAAUCCACCCCCCGUCAGCUUGCAAUGGUGUGGAUCACGUUUAUUGGGCAGCAUCACCUCAAGGAGACUUUACGGUGAAAUCAGCAUAUGAUUUGUUAGAUCAAUCUCGUGUGCAGGAAAGGGACUCUUACUGGAAGAUAGCCUGGUCAUGGAAGGGCCCGCAGAGUAUCAAGAUUUUUAUUUGGCUGGUGUUGCACAAUAGAUUAAAGACUCGGGCAGAACUAGCAACACGACGCUUGAACAUUGAACCAUCUUGUGAAAGGUGUGGGGCUGGUUUAGAGAAUACAAUUCAUGUGCUCCGUGACUGUCCCUAUUCGAAAGCUGUUUGGCUACGUCUUCUCCGAGGGAACAAUCACCAAUAUUUCUUCCAGUCUAAUCUUGCCGACUGGAUGUCUGCGAACUUGCAAGUCCAGAGCACUUCAGUAGGUAAUAAACUUUGGCGAGUCAUCUUUGGUGUUGCCAUUUGGCGGCUCUGGUUUUGGAGAAAUCGAUUUAUUUUCACCAAAGAUCACUGGGAGAGUAGUGCUAUAGCAUUAGAUAUAAAAGUACGGGCAGCUGAAAUUCAACGAUGCAAUUCUUCCCUUACUGCCACUGUCAAGAGCCGUGUCGAAAAAUGGAUUCGCUGGGGUGCUCCUACCUGGCCUUGGGUCAAGUUGAACACUGACGGUGCCAAGAAGCCUUCAGGCCAUGCAGGAGCUGGCGGUCUCAUUCGUGAUUACAGAGGAGUUUGGCAGAUCAGUUAUUGUGCUAACUUAGGUUGUUGCUCAGUAACAUCUGCUGAGUUGUGGGGUUUAUUUCAUGGGUUAUCCAUAGCUUGGCUUCAUGGUUAUCGUAGGGUGAUAGUGGAAGUGGACAGCAGGUGCAUCUUGCAGCUAGUCUCUAAUUCGAACCCCACCAUCAAUGAGCAUCUUUCUCUAAUCACAGCCAUCCAAGAGCUAAUCGGACGAGAUUGGUUGAUUCAAAUGAAUCAUAUUUAUCGAGAAGCAAAUGCAGCAGCAGACUUUCUUGCUACCUAUAGUUUAGUUUUUCCUGUGGGUCUGCAUUAUUUUCAGUCCCCUCCUUUAAAUUUGCUUACCAUUUUAAACAAUGAUGUUUCUGGGGUUGCACACUCCCGUUUAGUGUUGCUUUAGCUCUGUUCAGAGCCCUUUAUUAAUAAAAAAAAAAAAAAAAAGUUGAGCAUUAGGCCCCCAAAUGGAAAUGGCAAGGAUCUGUGUGGUUUGAUUGCAAAUUUCGAAAACCUAGAGAAUUUAGCAGUAAUCAUGAAAAGCAAAGAAGAAGUACUUGCCUUGCAAUCUUUGAGUAAUCCUCCUCAAUAUCUGCAGCGUCUCUACUUGAAAGGGAAUAUGAACAAACUGCCGGAUUGGAUUUUUAAACUAAAAAAUGUAAUCAGAUUGGGUUUGGACUUGUCGGGAUUGACUGAGGAGCCAAUCAGAGUCCUUCAAGCCUUGCCUAAUUUAUUGGAUCUUUUACUCAUAGGGACAUACAACUACGAGCUUUUUCACUUUGAAGCAGGUUGGUUUCCAAAACUCCAAAUAUUGAAUCUCUUUGACUUCGUCGCUGUGAAAUCGGUUAUAAUAGAGAAAGGUGCGAUGCCUGAUAUUAGAGAAAUGUGGAUUGGGCCUUGCCCAUUGUUGAUGGAGAUUCCUAUUGGAAUUGAACAUCUUAAAAACCUUAAGCUACUCAGAUUUGCUCGUAUGGUUAAACAAGUUUAUUACAUGACAAAAGACGAGAACUGGGGGAAGGUUACUGAGCAUAUACCAGAUGUCCUUGUCACUUUUGUGAAAGCCGAGAAAUUGUUUUAUUAUCGAAAAGAGGAUCUCUCAUCUCUGUCUCCUGAAUAUGUCGAGCAAAUCUGCUGAAGAAGAGGACUCGAGUCCGGAGCAGUCAUGCACAUCUAUGAAAUAAGUAAACAGGUCUGCCACUCUCCUGCGUAUUUGGAUUAUUUUCUAAUUACUUUUAAGAAAAAAUAUUUUCUCAUUUUUAAUUUGACAGACAAUUUAAUUAUAUAUAAUUCAAAUAAAAAUUCACCAAGAAAAUUCCUUUUUCCCUGUAAUUUGAGUACGUUUAAUAAAUAAAUAAACAAAUGCAGUAGGUCAGUAAAUCUUUUUCUAGUCAAAUAUAUAGUUAGAAUCAUAUAAUGAUUAGGUAUUAAUGUUAGUAUAGUAAUUUCCGUUAUAUUUUUUGUUACCAUGAACAGAUGGAGUAUAUAUAUCUUCCUUCUAGCGAAUUCAUUGAUGAGUUCAUCAAACCUAUACUGGAUCAGAUUGUGGCGGUAAUGCUGCUAUUGAUAUGCUUUGAGUUUCGGUAAUUAUUAUCAGUGUUAAUUAAUAUCUAAGACUGAGAUUAUGAUUUUAGAAAUGUUGUAUUACUAUUGUAAGGAAUUGUCAUCAUAUAAUAUUCAGUGUUUAAUAAUAAAAACUGUGUGCCAAUGUGGUUACCAUUGGUAUAUGGUUAAUUUGUGUGGAAUGAUGCAUUUGCCUUAAUUGUAGUCUGUAGCUUAUUGUUUUCACAUAACAAUUUAGCAAAAAUUUGUAUCACAUGCAUUUCCAUAUUGUCAAGUUUAAUUUACUCUUCAUUUGCAUAAUUGUGCUUAUUAUUUUGUGACAUCUAUCUGAAUUAGUCUGCAACUUUCAUUGAAUUUAUUUAUUUUAUUUUAUUUAAGAAGUAUGUGAAACCAUUAUUCUAAAAAUUAAAUGCAUAUUUAAGAUUGCGGUUAAUGAAUUUUCAAACAAUCACUUAUUUAAAAAAAAAAAUUACUCAAUCAUAUUUGAGUUGACAAUUUAUUUUAAGUAAACAUAUAUAAUUUUUGAACUAGAUACACUCACAAUCAUCAAAUAAUUGAUUUUCAAAUAUAAUUUGAGAAUAAAAUCCAUGUGGAUUGCAGCAGAGAAAGUCUAUAAUUGGGUUCUGGGACUGGGGAAUUAAACUUACUAAGCCAUGCUACUAUUCUUGGGGAAAAAAUAGUGGCAAUACCGCAGUAGUUAGGGUUAAAAGGUAAAGAAUACAAAGAAACUAUAUAAAAAAAGCAUAGGUCACUCUAAAUUUACAAUCAAAUAAAAGAGAAAUUUUAUUUAAAAAAAAAAAAAAGUAUUGGUGACUCUAAAGUUAGAAAAUUACAGAUGAUUGCGAUUGAAUUAGUAAUUUUGCUUUUGAAAUUGCUUUAAGUUGCUCAAUAAAUGGUCCUGCGGAGGCUCACUCCUUAUAAUCUAUAUGUUAGAUCAAAGUGUUUGUUUUUGCGUGAAUCAAAGAGAAAGAUUGCUAGAAAUUUCUUUUUCUUUAUUUUUUCAUGUCAUAAAUACACGAGAGCCGAAACAAUGUUGAGUCUCUUCACAAUAAAAACAAUUUUUAUACAUCUUUUCCUUCAACUUUAUGAUAUUCAAUGGACAUAGUCCUUAUUAUAGUCCUAACCUGCCCCUUUAUUAAUUAUUAGUCAAGAAAAUUGUGGGCCUUAAAUGAUAAGAUGCUUACUUUUUAACUCCAUUAUAUCACAAUUGUACAGAAACGCACCCAAUGCAUGCACCACACCUGUCCUGCAUAUGGAGAAAAAGCAUGCAAUUGUUUUUGUUUGGUAGCUAGCUAACCAAUCAGGAGCUGGCUAAGUUGGAUCUGUAUGUUACAGAAUCCGUAACUUAGCCAGCUCCCAAUUGUAUAUUGUCCGACUUAAAACAUGAUUAUUAAAACAGAUUUAAGUAAAUUUUAAAAAAGGCCAUUAAAAGAAAUUGUAACCGCUGCUCAUCAAUAAAAACCCAUCUUGGUUGGAAGAAUUUCAGAAAAAAUACAGAUGGUAUUUGAUUUGAAUUUGAAAAGGAAACUUAAUUAAGGAAACUAACAAAUAAGAAAACACAAAUCCUUACGUAAACAAAUGAAAAAACAAAAACACAAACGACCACACAUACAUGGGCCGGGCCGGGCCGUGCCGUUCCCUUGGACAUGACAACACGACCCUCCAAUAAUUUCAAUCUCUUUAUCAUUGUUCCCAAAACAUCGUUCCAAACUUUUCCUGCAUUAAAAGUCAUGAAGAUAAUUUAUUAAUUUGAUCAAACAGUAAGGUUAAUUAUGUCAUUGUAUAUUUGUGGGUCAAGUGAAGUGAAGCAUUUUCUUCUAUAUUGAUCAUUUCCCAUGCAAACGUACAGCAAACUUUUCAGCACUUUAAUCUCACCGUUGAGUGUUAAAACUCCCUCUGUAUUCAACACACCGACCCUUCAAUCUUGUGUCAAUAUUACAGUUUACAGGCCACAUAAUUUAUUUGAUUAUGUUACAAAGACUUACAAAUUGUUCGUUAUAAUUUUCAAUUUUUUUUUUGAGAGAAUAUGAUUUUCAACUUAUUUGUUACACUUUUUAAUUUUGUAAUUUGCAUUAUAAAACACAAAUUCGUAAAUCUAACAAGAAAAAUUGAGAAAUGCAACAAAAAAUGUUAAGACUAUUUGCAAAAAUUUGUUACUAAUAAAAAAAAAUUGUUACGAACAUACAAUAGUUAUGAGAUAUCAUUUUUCUUAGUUUCUUUUUUUAAUUUUUUUAAAGUAUGAGAUGAAAUGUAUAUUUGUGUUAAACUCCCUCUGUAUGCAGUGGCGGAUCUAGAAAAAUAAUUUACCGGGGGCUGAAUUAAAUAACAACAAAAUGUAAAAACUGAAAUUUGAAUAUAUAAAUUUUUUUAUAACACAUUUACAAUUGUUCUCUAUGCGAUUUUAUAUUAUGAAAACGUUGUGCAAUUGACUUAUUAUCAACAUUAUUAAAUACAUAUUUUUCUACAUAAACAAUAAAAUUAUUAUUCAUCCAUUCAUCUCUCAUUCGAUUCUGAAGUUCAUUCUUCACAAAUUUCAUUGCUGAAAAUGUUCUCUUUAUUGUGGUUAUAAAAACUGAAAGAACUUUAUUGUGGUUAUAGAAACUGAAAGAACGGAACUUUUUGAUAGUUUGAUAGAGAUUAUUUAAAAAUUUAUUAAUUUUUCUUUUAAACAAAAAAGGUUUUUUUUUUUUCAGUGGGGGCUCAAGCCCCCACUAGUCCUACACUACAUCCGCCCCUGUCUGUAUUCAAACGUAUGGCUGUUGGAGAAGAAGAGAAAAGAGAAAUGAGUUUUACAGAAAAAGAUGAAGAAGAAGAUAAAUGGACAAUGCAUUAUUCAUCAAUGCAUCAAAGACUGUUGGUGGGUAAAAGAGAUUUCUCGUUUUAUUUUGUUUUAUCGCAGAAAUUUGGCUCUGCUUCUAACAUCUGGGCUUCUUCUCUUAAUUCUUAUGGUAAUUCAUUCAUUUCUCUAAUCUCUUUCUCUUCUCUUACAUCUUUUUUUUCUUUAAAUUUUCAUUUUACCAUAUGAUGUGGCAAAAAUUACCUUGUUUAUAGAUCUUUAUCCUCAAUUUGAUGUUAAAUUGUCACUUAAUUUGAUGUGUAACUGUAAAGAAAUGAUCAAUUUUACAGGAAAAUAGUAAAAUAACCAGAAAAACCAGGAAAACAUAUUAUUAAUGCCUCUUUUUUUUUAAUAAUUGGAUUUCAUAUGAUGGGAGGCCAAAAUGACCCUGUUUACAAAUUUUUAUCUUCAAUUUGAACUGUUUUACUUCAAAACUGGAACUAUUAAAUAAGAGUCGGAAUUAGUACAAAAGUUAAAUAUAACAGCUCGGUCUUCUUUAUAAGGUGGACAUCAUUUCAAAGUUACAUGUAUUUAGGGGCGAAGCUACUUUUUUCAAGCUGGUGGUUAGACUAAUUUUUUUAAGUUAAAAAAAAAAAAGAAUCUUGAAGUAAAGCUAUUGAAUUAAACCAUAACAAUAAGUUCACAUUUUUUAGGUUUUAAAAAUAUUUUGUGAAUUAUGUUUAUUUAAAAAUAAAAAUUGUCAAACUUCAAAAUUGUGACUACAAUACUCCAUGAGUGCCAUACUCAACUGUGACUACAAUACUCCAUGAGUGCCAUACUUCACAACUUGGCUUUUUUAUAAUUAGUUUACUUGAGACCAAAAAUAGAUUUCUAAAAUGAGAUGGAGUGGGGAAGAAGUUGGGAAAAAUGACCGUGAGCUUGAACGAUAAACUUGUAAAUUAGGUUGUGGUGUUUUGUUAAAAAUAACAGUGGUAGCUAGUUCUAUAAAUUCUGCAUGGUAAUUUUGUGAACAACAUAGAAAAAAAAUAAAAAACUAAAUUAUUAUUAUUAUUAUUAUUAUUAUUAUUAUUUUGUUGGCGUAUCUUGCUUAUUUCGAAGUGAACAUAAAUUGUAUAUUUGGAUGGACUAGAAAUUGUGAUUCAUAAAUUCAAGGAGGCACGGUCAAACUUGGACACCCUAAAGAAGCUAGGAGCAUCCAUUCUCCAUGGAGUUGAUGCAACUGAAAUGAAGGAACAUCCUCAAUUUAGCAAGCGGAAGUUCGAUAGAAUAAUCUUCAAGACUUCAACUUUCCCAUUGCCUGCUUUCAUGGAAAGGAAGAAGAUGACGAAGUUAUUCGUGAGCUGCCUGGUGAGUCCAUUGGACAUAUGUGUCAAUAUAUGUUAGGAAAUUGAUGGGUGACGUAGGACCGCAACUAAAAUAAAAUUGGAAGAAAAUAAAGAACAAGCACAAAGUGGAUACCAAGAAAUUACGUGGUUCGGCUUUUAGCCUACGUCCAUGGGCGAAGACAGAAGGAAAAUAUUAUAUUAGUGAUAUGAGGAUUACAAGUAUUGUAAUCUUUUGGCUCACUACCCAGAACUCCAAUAUACCCAAUCUCUCACUCACUAAUUACACUAGAGUAAUAAAUAUUGAAAACAAAUGCUUAUAAAGAUAAACUUAUUUUUCUCUCUUUUAUAAGUUCUCAGAUGCACUCAAAAUGGAUGCAAAACUCAUUUACAUGACUCCCUUUAUAUAGCCAAUUGUUGGCUAACAAAUUCCAUAAGUUAAGUUUGACAGCCACCUAACUCAACCAUCUCCAUUUCAUUUUGUCCAUGGUCGGCAAUCACCAAAUCAAAAUGUCAAUGUCGGCACCCAUUUUUCUUCAUUUUCUUUCCUUUUUUCUUCUUCCUCUUUUGUCUUCUUUCUUCUUUUCUUUGCUUUUUGGUGGAUCCUUGACAAUAUAGUGCAGUUAAAAAUGGUUAUAAUACGAGGGAACUUGACAUAUAAAGUGAUCCAUAUUUCUUAAUAAUUCAAGAUGCAUGUAGUGUUCAGGAGUUUGCAGUGAUAUUUCCACUUCACCAAUUCUUAAAGUGAAAAUUAAUGAUUGGAUGCUGAGAAAAUGAAAGAAACUUUAAGAAUCUUGAAAGAGAAUUAAAACUAGAUCUGAGAAGUUUCUAGUUAAUCACAUUUCAUUCAACAUGCACAAAAUGUGCUCAAGUCUGGUAUUUAUACAGAGCAAAUGCACGGACUAGAAUAUUCUAACUGACUACAAUUUAACUAUUGACUAUAACUAAUUAUAACAAACUAAUUAGCGCAUGCUUUAGCUACUAUAUAACUAUCGAAUGCCAGCUGGCUUCCACAUCAUCAUAUAUGUACACUGCACGUACUGGAAUCCUCUGCUUUGCUGAUCAUGCUGCUUACAUGAGCUUCCUUAAUACUUAAAAAGUUGGCUCCUACACUAGUUCCAUGAUCUUUCUUCUGGUAAUUAUCACAGAAUGAAUAUGAGCCUUGUGGAAGGUUUCUUAAGAAAUGCAAGUAGUAUGUUAAGGCCUGAUGGUGAAAUUCAUGUAAGCCACAAAACAACAGCUCCAUUUUGCAAAUGGCAUAUCGAGGAACUCGCUAGCAAACACUCUUUGUCAAGACUGGACUGUGUCCAAUUUAGAAAAAAAGACGACCCAGGUCACAACAACAAGAAAGGAGCUGGUUCGCAAUGCGAUGACUAUUUUCCCUUGGGAUAGUGCAGUACCUUCAAAUUUGGAUUCUAUCGUGCUCUCAAGAGGUCUAAAUGAAUGAGUUAUGGUGGAUUUGCUAUCAAAAGACCUAAGGCUGUUCAAGAGAUUCCAAUCGAAGCGCCCAAGCUUGAAACGGAUCCAUUUGACUGGAGAUAUACUAAUGCAAGGUCAGCUACUGAUAUGAAUGAAUUUCCAUUGCGUGUGAAGUUUUGAUAGUAGCUGGUUGGGUUACUCUGUUCCAAGCUUUACCAGAAAUAUGACUGAUGGUCCAGGAUAUUAGAGACAAGCUUUGAUGAGUAAUGCCACGUUCCAUAAUGGCUGCUUUAAUACUCCCAACACGACGCUUAGAACAGUUGCUGACGACGUGGGCUAUGUUGUUCCCGAAUCACCAAUUCCAUAUGAAGGAUAUAACACGGAAGUAGCAGGAUUCCAAAGAGAAAAUGCUGGGAGUUAUGAUAAAGCAGUGCGACCAGGAAGAACCUUAAACGGAUUUUUGUAUCCUAUGGAGGGACGUGACUGUGAGGGAACUUUGAGACCAGCACAGCCGCCAAGGAUGAGGUUAGGAUUUAGUCACCAGCUGCUUUAAGGGAGAACGCGGUGCUAUUAUGCUUUCGUGGAACAUUGAGCGACUUUUUGUCUUUAGUCGUGAAUUCUAGCUAGUUAAGCAUAUAUAGGUACCGCAGUGUAGGUAAAAAGUUUUGGUUUGCUUUCAUUUGUGUUUGUCUUAAAAAUUAAGAAUUUCAGCAAUCUGUUGGUGUGUUGCAUGGUGCUGUCAAUCUCCUAUUUGCAAAGAACUCGAUCUGUUUCCUGUUGAUAGAACUAAAUUUAGGUUAACAUGCAAGAUCGAUGAACUCAUCAAUGCAUUCACCGCAAGGAAGAUACUCCUCCAUCGGUCAAUUAAGACUUGCAAAUUAUAGUAAUGCUACAAUUAAUAUACUUUUAUCAGUGUUAUUAUGUAAUAUAUGCUUAUGUGAGUAGUUGCUGCUGUGAGUUAGUGUAAUCUUUGUAUAUCUAAGACAAUAAUUUUAGAAUUGUUGUAAUUCUAUUGUCAUCAUAUCGUAAUCAGGUUUUAAUUUUAAAAAAAAAAUUGUGUCCCAAUGUGAUUACCUCUGCUGUAUGUUAACUUAUGCGGAAUGAUGCAUGCCUUAAUUAUGUUUGAGUUUUCAAAUUAUUUUAAUCAAACAUGUGCACUUGAUAAGAAUUGUCCUUAGUUUUAGAUUCGAUACACUAGCAAUCAUCAAGUAAUUGAUUAUCACAUAUAAUUUGGAAGUAGGAUCCAGUACAAUUGAUAAAUAGGACAAUCUCAAACACGUACUAAGGAGUUGUUUGUUUUUUGUUUAAAGUCUAAAUUUUACUUAUUUUCAGACAUUUAUUGUUUUUAAUUUAUUAGUUUUCUAUCACUUAUGUCUGGUUAUAAGAUGCUUACGUCUGAAUUAAAAAAGUUAAAUAUUUUAACUUUUAUCUAAAUGGUAAAACAUCUAAAUAUAACUUUAAUAUUCUCUCUUAUUAUUACCCCAUUUAAAUGAAUUUAUUUCCUAUUAUAUAGAUUAUUCUUUUAUUAUUUUUUUAAUUUAUCUUUUUUUUUUGGUUAUAUGUGCCUAUUCAACUUUUCCUUUGAAUGAGAAUUUUAACAUAAUAAUAUUGUUAGGUGAGUGCGUUUUAUAACAGAUCCAUCUUUUUAUAUUUAUAUUUACUGUUCUUAUAAUGGAUUUUGAAUUUUGUUAAAUACAUUAAUUUUAAUUCAAAUGAUUAAACAAUUCUUAAUUGACUUUUGUAAUUAAUAAGAAUAUAAACCUAAAAUACCAAAAAGAACAUUAUAAGUAUCAUAUAUUAAUGUAACAAAAUACAUAUGUUAUGUUGAAUUUAUAAAAUACUCAACCAUAGGAGUUCGGAAGGAAUCGUUUUCAUUUUAUAUAAUUAUCGCAUUUGUAACUUAGCCAGGAAGCUUUGUGUGUACUGAUUGCCUCUAGAUUGUAAAUUCAAUUGAUCUCGUCUUGGUUGAAGUAGAUGAUAGUAAAUAAUAUCUGAGUUUCAUUUCAGAUUCCAAAAACAAUCCUCCAUGUGAAUGGUUAAGUAGAGAUUCACAUUACUUUCUUUUUUCUUUAGAGGAAUGGCUGACUCCUUUGAUCAUGAAAUUAUAUCACGACUAUCACAAAAACUCGAGUAAUUCUAUUCAUAUAAUCAAAAUAGAGUUGAGUUCGAGCUCCUUCAUUUUAACUGAUUUAUUAUAAUGCAUAACCACAAAUGAUGAGAUGGUGUUGGAUAUGAUAAUGGGAAUUAGUUGUCAACGAGAAAAUUAAUUUCGGAAGAAUACAGUUAGUCGCAGAACUCUCCUAGUCCUUGGAAGUAAUUUAAAGGAAAGGUGUAUCAAUUUGUUUGUGUAGCUUACUGUGUGGUUAGAGAGUUUCGUGCUCUUGGUCUUUUGAGCUUUCUUACUCUUGAUUCUAUAGACCUGCGCCCAACAUUUAUCAAGGUUUGGUUUUCUUUAUUUUUUGCUCUUUUUGUGGCUUUUUUGUUUUUGUUCUCGUUUGUUUGUUUUUUUUUUGCGUUUAGGGCUCUUUGGCCAUAAAUUAUCACAAAAGACAAGUCUUCUCUGGUCUCCGGGAAGAGAAACGGAAAUUGCAAAAAGUUUUGAUGACUUUUUGUGCAAUCUCGGACCCAAUAAGGGACCAAAAAAAAGUUGAACACUUUUUGUUGUUUUCUAAUUGAGUUCUGUUAUUUGAACUGAGAGAAGAGAAGGAAGACAUAAAUGAUUUAAUUAACCAAUAAAAUAUGGGCCCACAAUAAGUUUAAAAAAGAGCACGUGAAUAGAGUUCUGUUCUUUUUUUUUUUUUUUCCUUGGACAAGGGUUUUAACUUUUAACGUGAGGAUCUAAAAUGGCAGAGCACUCUCUUCAAAUCAGAUGAGGUUGCUAACUCUGAAGAGAGUGCUAGUGCCUACCUCACUUAUUCAAUGACUAAUUUCAAUCGUUAGAUUUACCAACUUUUCAUCGAACGGCUCUUUAGAAUAAUGAUAAAAAAUAUGGAAAGGUAUCCCACUGAUUAAUGAAAACGGCAGAGCACUGGGCUGCCACAACAAUAAGUUUAAGAGGGCGCUGGGCACCACAGCAGAGCUUCCCCAAUGAAAGCUCGCCACUCAUUAAGCUACUCCAGAUAUACACGGCUGCAAAAACAAACAAAUCAACUUGCAAUAAAAUAAAUAUUAAAAUAAACUGAAAAAAGCUCAAAUGCCGACAAAUUCCACUUUGCUUCAAAAUUAACUUUAUAGUAAGUACGAAGAAUAAAAUAUAAACAAUCAACUUGCAAGUUGAAAAUUCUGCAUUCUUAAACCAAUGUUCAAACAGUCUAUGCAGAAGCAUCGAUCUGCUUUGUAAAUUAGACCUGCUGGCGUGAUAUGGCGGAGGCUGUGGUGAACUUUGCUCUAGAGACCUUGGGUCCUUUGCUUGUCGAAGAAAUCAGAUUGUGGGGAGGUGUUAGAAAAGAAGUUCAAAGUAUCAAAAGCGAACUGGAGAGUCUCAGAUCUUUCCUCAAGGACGCGGAUGCAAGGGCAGCAGUCGAAGAGUUAGAAGGAGGCGGUGAGGAAAGUGUCAGAACUUGGGUGAAACAACUGAGGGAUGAAGCUUAUCGCAUUGAAGAUGUGAUCGACGAGUACACACUCAUGGUGGCAAAGCUCCCUCCCGGGAGUGGUCUCGUUGGUGUUCUCCAUAGAAUCAGUCGUUUCAUAAAGAAGCUGAAGCUGCGGCGUGGAGUUGCUACUGAGAUUCAAGAUAUCAAAUCAGCGCUUGCUGAUAUAAAGGGAAGGGGAGAAAGAUAUCGAUUCAGAUCUAUUGAUGAACCAUCGAGCAGUGGAACCAGAAAUGUUAUCCCACAUGACUCUCGAGUUGGUUCCUUUUUCGUUGAAGAUGAUGAAGUUGUGGGCAUCGAAUCCAUUAAAGAUAAAUUGAUUGAUUUGAUGGUGAACGGAAGAUCCGAACGUUCAGUGGUUGCUGUGGUGGGUGAAGGAGGACUAGGUAAGACCACUCUUGCCGGAAAACUUUUUAACAAUGAAGGUUUAAAAACUCACUUCAGUAGCCGGGCUUGGGUCACCGUUGGGAAAGAAUACAACAAAAAUGAUUUGUUGAGGACAGUUAUAAAGGAGUUUCACAGUUUCUCAGGGCAGCCUACUCCAGUCGAGAUACACAAAAUGGAAGAGAUGGAGCUGAUCACCACGCUGAGGGGCCACUUGAAGGACAAGAAUUACGUGGUUGUGUUCGACGAUGUUUGGAAGAUUGAUUUUUUGGGAGACGUGGAGCAUGCUUUACUCGAUAACAAGAAAAGCAGCAGGAUAAUUGUCACAACACGGCACAUGAAUGUAGCUAAGUUUUGCAAAUCAUCUUCCCCUGUUCAGGUCCAUGAGCUUGAAACUUUGCAUCCGAAUGAAGCGUGGAAACUUUUUUGUAGAAAGGUGUUCGGACCAAGCUCCGGAGGCUCUUGUCCUUCAGAGUUGAGGGAGUUGUCCCAGGACAUCCUUGCAAAAUGUGGAGGUUUGCCUCUUGCUAUUGUGGCAGUAGGUGGACUUCUUUCAACCAAGAACAGGGUUGUAUCUGAAUGGAAGAAAUUGUUUGAUAGGUUGGGCUUAAUGUUAGGAAGCGAUCCCCAUCUAAAAGAUUGCAACCGAGUUUUAUCUGAAGGGUAUUAUGAUCUUCCUCACCAUCUCAAAUCAUGUCUUCUGUACUUUGGCUUAUUUUCAGAGAGCUGCAAAAUCAACUGUGCUAGACUCAUCCGUUUGUGGAUAGCUGAGGGCUUUGUCCAGUACAGCAAACGCCCCACAUCUGAACAGGUUGCAGAAGAAUACUUGAAUGAGCUCGUUGACAGAAGCUUGGUUCAAGUUUCAGAGAGAGAUAUUUCUGGACGAGCUAGAAUCUGCCAAGUUCAUGAUCUUAUGCACGAGAUCAUCAUCAGCAAAACUGAAGAAUUCGGCUUUGGUCGUGUGCUGAACGGAGAGGACUUGAGUCGCUGCAGUAAAACUCGACGCAUUACUAUGCAGAGAAGUAUUGAUGAUGGUGCUUUAGUGAGCAUCAAGGACUCGAAGGUCCGUUCUGUUUUUCUGUUCAAUAUAGAUAAGCUGCCCGACUCUUUCAUGAAUGCAAGUAUUGCCAAUUUCAAGCUCAUGAAAGUACUAGAUCUGGAAGAUGCUCCUAUAGUUUACCUUCCUGAAGGAGUGGGAAACUUACUCAAUUUACACUACUUGAGUUUGAGAAAUACAAAAGUAGAAAUAAUUCCCAAGUCCAUUGGAAAUCUUCUCAGUUUAGAGACUUUGAAUAUGAAAAAUACUUUGGUGAGAGAACUUCCAGUAGAGAUCAGGAAUCUUAAAAGGUUACGUUAUCUAAUGGUGUAUCAGUACAAUUAUACCGCAGGUUUUGCAGUAGCAGGAGAAGCAGCAGCGAAAUUACACGAGGGCUUUGGGUCUCUAACGAAUCUGCAGAAGUUGUGUAUUAUAGAAGCUGACUCUGAAGUAGGGAUGGCAGUGGGGUGGGGUGGGGGUGGGGAGGCCUGCCCCAUUCCCCACCCUAUUAGAAAUUUUUACCUCCAUUCCCCAUCUUAUUUCUCAAUAAAUUUAGUGGGGUGGGGAUGGAGAAUCUCCACGUGGGGAAUGAUUUCCCCAUCCCCACCCCAUUUCCCAUUUAUCUAUUUUAUAAUAUGUAUAAAUAUAUUAUUUUAGUAAGUUAAAAAUUAAAUAAAAUCAUCAUCAUAUUAUAAAGUAUUUAAAUUCUUUUUAAAAAAUAUCUAAAAGUUUGAAACAAUAUCUUAAAAUGAUAUUAAAAGUGAAAAAUAUUUAAAGAGUGUAGCACCUUAAAAGAUAAAAGAAAAUAUAACAAUGUUUCAGAGUUGAAAAAUAUUAUAGGAUUUUCUUUCAUUAAUAUCUUGUUUAUAUUGCAUAAAAAUUAAAAAAAAUUAUUAAUUAACAUUAUAAUUGAUAAAAUAAAAAUUAUUUAAUAAGAAUUAAAAACAUAUUUAUAUAUAAUGGGGAUUGAGGUGGGGGUGGGGUGGGGAGUACAAAACCAAACUCCACCCCAUUAAGAAUUUGGGGAUUAUUUUCCCCCACUCCCCACCCCAUUCCCCAAAAAUUGUGCAAAAUUUUUCCCAUUUGGGGUGGGGCUCCAAACCCGUGGAGGACUUUGCCAUCCCUACUCUGAAGCGCUCAAAGAGCUUAUGAAGCUAAGGCAGUUAAGAAAGUUGAGCAUUAGGCCCCAAAAUGGAAAUGGCAAGGAUCUGUGUGGUUUGAUUGCAAAUUUGAAAAACCUAGAGUCUUUAACGGUCGAAAUGACAAGCAAAGAAGAAAUACUUGACUUGCUGUCUUUGAGUAGUCCUCCUCAAUAUCUGCAGCGUCUCUACUUGACGGGGAAUAUGAAGAAACUGCCGGAUUGGAUUUUUAAACU
This 19124-nucleotide long non-coding RNA is filed under the name Citrus x clementina. RNAcentral describes it as "Citrus clementina (C. clementina) long non-coding RNA (CCLE_LNC006818)". Lineage: Eukaryota; Viridiplantae; Streptophyta; Magnoliopsida; Sapindales; Rutaceae. The record is from RNAcentral.